AGAGUUUGAUCCUGGCUCAGAUUGAACGCUGGCGGCAUGCCUUACACAUGCAAGUCGAACGGCAGCAUAGGAGCUUGCUCCUGAUGGCGAGUGGCGAACGGGUGAGUAAUAUAUCGGAACGUGCCCUAGAGUGGGGGAUAACUAGUCGAAAGACUAGCUAAUACCGCAUACGAUCUACGGAUGAAAGUGGGGGAUCGCAAGACCUCAUGCUCCUGGAGCGGCCGAUAUCUGAUUAGCUAGUUGGUGGGGUAAAAGCCUACCAAGGCAACGAUCAGUAGCUGGUCUGAGAGGACGACCAGCCACACUGGGACUGAGACACGGCCCAGACUCCUACGGGAGGCAGCAGUGGGGAAUUUUGGACAAUGGGGGCAACCCUGAUCCAGCAAUGCCGCGUGAGUGAAGAAGGCCUUCGGGUUGUAAAGCUCUUUUGUCAGGGAAGAAACGGUAGUAGCGAAUAACUAUUACUAAUGACGGUACCUGAAGAAUAAGCACCGGCUAACUACGUGCCAGCAGCCGCGGUAAU
RNAcentral lists this ribosomal RNA (523 nucleotides) under uncultured bacterium. Its description in RNAcentral is "bacterial SSU rRNA". It matches the Rfam family "Bacterial small subunit ribosomal RNA", at positions 8 to 524 of the family's 1533-position model. The record is from RNAcentral.